CUAAAAUCCAGAAAAACCAGCACAGUGCAGAAGUGGACCUAUGAGUGAUUAUGGAGGAAUAUCGAAGUGGUUUGCAUAUUGCGAUAUAUCGAUCAAAGGCCAUGAGCAUGAUGAUAAAGGAAUCCAAGGAACCUAGACAAUGAACACAAAACAUUUGGAAAAAACAGCCAGACAUGGAUAUAUUCCCAGCUCCAAACCAAUACUUGGAGAUGAUUUGAGGUAUUGUUAUUGUGUCAAAAAGGAGAUCAGACAUUGCAAGGUUCCCGAUAAAUACAUACAUCGAUUGGUGCAGGUUCUCUUUCAGAAUUAUCAAAAGUGUUACCGUUCCAUUAGAGAUAAGCGCCAUUGUGUAGACAAGAAACAUU
Pelobates cultripes (western spadefoot toad) is the source of this 365-nucleotide non-coding RNA. The record is from the annotation of a GenBank genome assembly. Lineage: Eukaryota; Metazoa; Chordata; Amphibia; Anura; Pelobatidae.